AUGCUUGCUUUGGCAGCACAUAUACUAAAACUGGAAUGAUACAGAGAAGAUUAGCAUGGCCCCUGCACACAGAUGACAUGCAAAUUCAUGAAGCAUUCCGUAGUUUU
RNAcentral lists this small nuclear RNA (107 nucleotides) under Macaca nemestrina (pig-tailed macaque). Lineage: Eukaryota; Metazoa; Chordata; Mammalia; Primates; Cercopithecidae. The record is from RNAcentral.